AGAGUUUGAUCCUGGCUCAGAUUGAACGCUGGUGGCAUGCUUAACACAUGCAAGUCGAACGGUAACAGGUCUUAGGAUGCUGACGAGUGGCGGACGGGUGAGUAACGCGUAGGAAUCUGCCCAUUUGAGGGGGAUACCAGUUGGAAACGACUGUUAAUACCGCAUAAUAUCUGUGGAUUAAAGGUGGCUUUCGGGCUGUCGCAGAUGGAUGAGCCUGCGUUGGAUUAGCUAGUUGGUGGGGUAAGGGCCCACCAAGGCUACGAUCCAUAGCUGAUUUGAGAGGAUGAUCAGCCACAUUGGGACUGAGACACGGCCCAAACUCCUACGGGAGGCAGCAGUGGGGAAUAUUGGACAAUGGGGGCAACCCUGAUCCAGCAAUGCCAUGUGUGUGAAGAAGGCCCUAGGGUUGUAAAGCACUUUAGUUGGGGAGGAAAGCCUCAAGGUUAAUAGCCUUGGGGAGGACGUUACCCAAAGAAUAAGCACCGGCUAACUCCGUGCCAGCAGCCGCGGUAAUACGGGGGGUGCAAGCGUUAAUCGGAAUUACUGGGCGUAAAGGGUCUGUAGGUGGUUUGUUAAGUCAGAUGUGAAAGCCCAGGGCUCAACCUUGGAACUGCAUUUGAUACUGGCAAACUAGAGUACGGUAGAGGAAUGGGGAAUUUCUGGUGUAGCGGUGAAAUGCGUAGAGAUCAGAAGGAACACCAAUGGCGAAGGCAACAUUCUGGACCGAUACUGACACUGAGGGACGAAAGCGUGGGGAUCAAACAGGAUUAGAUACCCNNGUAGUCC
Molecule: ribosomal RNA, 786 nt
Filed under: uncultured bacterium
Lineage: Bacteria
Description: bacterial SSU rRNA
Rfam family: Bacterial small subunit ribosomal RNA
Source: RNAcentral